GCUAUACAUGCAGUCGAGCGAGCCGAACUAAUUGAUUACCUUCGGGUAUGAAGUUAGGGAAGCGAGCGGCGGAUGGGUGAGUAACACGUGGGUAACCUACCCUAUAGUCUGGGAUACCACUUGGAAACAGGUGCUAAUACCAGAUAAAAGGAGAGAUCACAUGAUUUCUUUUUGAAAGGCGGCGUAAGCUGUCGCUAAAGGAUGGACCCGCGGUGCAUUAGCUAGUUGGUAAGGUAACGGCUUACCAAGGCAACGAUGCAUAGCCGAGUUGAGAGACUGAUCGGCCACAUUGGGACUGAGACGCGGCCCAAACUCCUACGGGAGGCAGCAGUAGGGAAUCUUCCACAAUGGACGCAAGUCUGAUGGAGCAACGCCGCGUGAGUGAAGAAGGUUCUCGGAUCGUAAAGCUCUGUUGUUGGUGAAGAAAGAUAGUGAGAGUAACUGCUCAUUAUUUGCCGGUAAUCAACCAGAAAGUCACGGCUAACUACGUGCCAGCAGCCGCGGUAAUACGUAGGUGGCAAGCGUUGUCCGGAUUUAUUGGGCGUAAAGCGAGCGCAGGCGGAAAGAUAAGUCAGAUGUGAAAGCCCUCGGCUUAACCGAGGAAUAGCAUCGGAAACUGUCUUUCUUGAGUGCAGAAGAGGAGAGUGGAACUCCAUGUGUAGCGGUGGAAUGCGUAGAUAUAUGGAAGAACACCAGUGGCGAAGGCGGCUCUCUGGUCUGUAACUGACGCUGAGGCUC
RNAcentral lists this ribosomal RNA (738 nucleotides) under uncultured bacterium. RNAcentral's name for it is "bacterial SSU rRNA". It matches the Rfam family "Bacterial small subunit ribosomal RNA", at positions 48 to 754 of the family's 1533-position model. The record is from RNAcentral.